GAAACCAACAGGGAUUGCCUUAGUAGCGGCGAGUGAAGCGGCAAAAGCUCAAAUUUGAAAUCUGGCGCCUUCGGUGUCCGAGUUGUAAUUUGAAGAUUGUAACCUUGGGGUUGGCUCUUGUCUAUGUUUCUUGGAACAGGACGUCACAGAGGGUGAGAAUCCCGUGCGAUGAGAUGCCCAAUUCUAUGUAAGGUGCUUUCGAAGAGUCGAGUUGUUUGGGAAUGCAGCUCUAAGUGGGUGGUAAAUUCCAUCUAAAGCUAAAUAUUGGCGAGAGACCGAUAGCGAACAAGUACAGUGAUGGAAAGAUGAAAAGAACUUUGAAAAGAGAGUGAAAAAGUACGUGAAAAUUGUUGAAAGGGAAGGGUUUGAGAUCAGACUCGAUAUUUUGUGAGCCUUGCCUUCGUGGCGGGGUGACCCGCAGCUUAUCGGGCCAGCAUCGGUUUGGGCGGUAGGAUAAUGGCGUAGGAAUGUGACUUUACUUCGGUGAAGUGUUAUAGCCUGCGUUGAUGCUGCCUGCCUAGACCGAGGACUGCGAUUUAUC
RNAcentral lists this ribosomal RNA (541 nucleotides) under Pichia sp. PN-2013. RNAcentral's name for it is "eukaryotic LSU rRNA". It matches the Rfam family "Eukaryotic large subunit ribosomal RNA", at positions 61 to 606 of the family's 3401-position model. Lineage: Eukaryota; Fungi; Ascomycota; Pichiomycetes; Pichiales; Pichiaceae. The record is from RNAcentral.